This is a long non-coding RNA of Cryptotermes secundus, 869 nucleotides long. RefSeq lists it as uncharacterized. NCBI's taxonomy places the organism in Eukaryota, Metazoa, Arthropoda, Insecta, Blattodea, Kalotermitidae. The record is from RefSeq and is a predicted model, not a curated record. The transcript is spliced from 6 exons.
ACAAGUUUUGGUCCAUAUUUGGGCCAUCUUCAGGCAGUUUCAUUAAAUACAUCUCACAUUACUGACAUAUCCUAAUAAAAGCUGGAAUAUAGCCUUGUUCAUGUAAAUGACAAAUCGUAAACAGGACAAACAAGAAAAACUGCCUGAUCAACUGCUGCAGUUCCGUAUCAUUAAAUGGCAAUUUUGAAAUGCUGGGAAUGAAGCGGCUUGUUUUGAGGCAUGAAUCUGGCAUCCCCCUGACAGGACUGAAGCAAACAGAAAACAGCAAUGAGUUUAGAAAUCUGCUUUGCACAUUGAUCACCUCAUGACGACGCUUAGGAUGUUCUCCAAAACGCAUCUGGGGACCAUACAGUUCAGACUUAUGGUCUCUGUACUCAUCCACAACGCUUCCCUCUUGAUACUUCAUGGUGACACCUUCGUGUGUAUCUCUAUUACAAAGAAAGAAGCCUGAACAGCAUCUAAUUAUGCAUAAAGAGAGCAUAUCGGAAAUAAUAUGCAGUGACAUAUGAAGAAGUUCCUCUUUACCUGUGUCCAUGCAGGUCAAUGGAGGGAGAAUAUCUUCAAACAGGACAACAUCACUUUCUCCUCAUCUCUCUCUAGCCGCCAUAUAUCCCCUUAUCUCGUUCAUUACCAAAUAACCCCUACAAUUCAAAAAACACUGUUAAAUAAUGUGGUGUAAGUUGUUUCUAAUUGUGCCACUUAUCAAGUGUUCCCCUUGGCACUGAUCUUCAAAAAGUCUUGAAGAAAGAAUGAAAUCACAAAGCUAUUGAAACAAUCACAAACAUGUAGUUACUACAGGAGUUUGACGAUGGUGUAUAACACAUAGAGAUAUCGGGUUUUCGGACUUCACCCAUCAUACUGGUUUUAAG